Molecule: long non-coding RNA, 609 nt
Organism: Patiria miniata (bat star)
Lineage: Eukaryota; Metazoa; Echinodermata; Asteroidea; Valvatida; Asterinidae
Exons: 3
Source: RefSeq, a predicted model, not a curated record
AAAAUCUGUAUCAGGUCUAGAAGUUGAGGUUCGUCUUAACUUUCUGGUGUCAACUUGCAAUAUGGUCAACUUUACUAAUUCCAUAGUGCUGAAUCUGAAUCUAGAAUUUGAGGUUCGUCUUAACUUUCUGGUGUCAACUUGCAAUAUGGUCAACUUUACUAAUUCCAUAGUGCUGAAUCUGAAUCUAGUUAUUCACAUUGGCCCAAAUUGCACAUUAACAUUAUGGUCAAAAAUAGUAUUUUGGCCAUAACUUCUAUGUUUUAAGUUCAUCUGCUUUCAAACUUGACACUAAAUAAAUAGGAAGUGGGCAUGAGUAAUGUAAGUCAUUAAUAAAGGUGUGACACAGUGCUGACAUUUUUUAAAGUGUUGUUUUUGGUAGAAUCAAUCCUUUCAAACAUGAGCAUGAUGAAAUUUUGACAUGGUGUUUUUAGUAAGGAUUUAUAUUAAGUGAACGUACUUCUGUCAUCGCUUUACAACACAAAACAAUUACAAUGCUUCGAAAAAGCAUCCUGCAGUCUUGGAAAACAAUGUGUAUAUGACGUAACGUGAAGGAGAUAAUGCGCGAGCGCAUAUAGGGCGCGCAGUCUACGUGCGCAGUACGCUCUGAAU